Long non-coding RNA from Canis lupus familiaris (dog), 445 nucleotides. RefSeq lists it as uncharacterized. The transcript is spliced from 3 exons. NCBI's taxonomy places the organism in Eukaryota, Metazoa, Chordata, Mammalia, Carnivora, Canidae. The record is from RefSeq and is a predicted model, not a curated record.
GUGGCCCGCAAAGGAAGUAUUAAAAUAGGGCUGCUCUGCUGGCUCUUUGGCUAUUGGAACCACCGCUUAAGCUGUGAGUCAUGCUCUUGGACCUCUGCCUCUGUGGACGCUGACUGCUCGAUCUUCACUUAGAAACUCUCCUGGAGAGGAGGCAAGCAAGUGCAGCUGGCACCACCUGGCCUGCCUUUAAUGGACGUCAUGCUCAGAAAUGAUGAAAGGCUUUGGAUCUUACAAAUGAGAAUAUCCUUCCAAAUGAGCUGAAUACUCACCACUGAGUGCAGAAUCUGAAGUUCUGAGUGCUGACUUUAUUCUUCAGCCCCCAGAAAUUUAUAUUCAUGCAAAACAAGUAUGUAAAAAUAAUGGAUCACACUACAGACUGGAACACACUACAUCCAACUUUCCUUUAUAUGUGGAAAACCUAAUGCUGUGUUAAAAACAAGUUUUC